GUGGGGAAUAUUGGGCAAUGGGGGCAACCCUGACCCAGCGACGCCGCGUGAGGGAAGACGGCCUUCGGGUUGUAAACCUCUUUUGUACGGGAAGAAGGACGUGACGGUACCGUGCGAAUAAGUCCCGGCUAACUACGUGCCAGCAGCCGCGGUAAUACGUAGGGGACGAGCGUUGUCCGGAAUUACUGGGCGUAAAGGGCGCGCAGGCUGUAGAUCAAGUCAGCUGUGAAAUGUCUGGGCUUAACCAGGGCAUGCGGUUGAAACUGAUGUACUGGAGUGCUGUAGAGGCAAGUGGAAUUCCCAGUGUAGCGGUGAAAUGCGUAGAUAUUGGGAAGAACACCGGUGGCGAAGGCGACUUGCUGGGCAGCAACUGACGCUGAGGCGCGAAAGCCAGGGGAGCAAACGGGAUUAGAUACCCGUGUAGUCC
This 427-nucleotide ribosomal RNA is filed under the name uncultured bacterium. RNAcentral describes it as "partial 16S ribosomal RNA". It matches the Rfam family "Bacterial small subunit ribosomal RNA", at positions 354 to 796 of the family's 1533-position model. The record is from RNAcentral.